This is a long non-coding RNA of Planococcus citri (citrus mealybug), 2061 nucleotides long. RefSeq lists it as uncharacterized. The transcript has 2 exons. The record is from RefSeq and is a predicted model, not a curated record. Lineage: Eukaryota; Metazoa; Arthropoda; Insecta; Hemiptera; Pseudococcidae.
UGUCUUUCUUCUGCGGUCUUUCAGAAAAAAAUAGUCACAUUUUCAAGACCUCUGAAGCCAUACACUGGGUAAUACCUCUGAAGUAGGCGAACCAUGGGUAUAUACAUAAUACAUAUAGGUUAUACCUCAGUGUACGUACGUAAUACGUAUGUAUUUGGACAAAAUGUUGUGAACACAAUUGAAGGCACUGGGUUGCGAGCCUUGCUUUUUUACUUAGAUGGGUAAGAUACUACCUAGUAGGUAUGUACGUUAUUUUUUCGAUUUCCGAAGAAUUUUUCAACAAUAAUGAGGACUAUUUAGUUGGUAAAUCAUGUGUGCAAUAAAAAUUAAAGUACUUCUUGAAAACGUACGAAAUAAAUAAUUGAAUUGAAUUGAAUGGGUAUUAAGUACAUGUAACCUUGUUUCUAAAAAUUAGGUACUUAUUUAACGAACAUGUUCGCAUAAAAUAUACAAUUCUUUAUUCCAGAAAUAAGCAUUACGAUUGGUACGAUGAACCAGAAAUAGUUCGCUAAAAUACGCUAAUAUACGAGUAGAUUGCUGGUUACCUGAACCUUGAAAGUUAAUCAAGUUUUAAUAACGUCGCGUGAAAUUUAUUUGCGCUGUGUGAGUAGUACCAACCUACUCAAGUGGAAUUUAAUCACUUACAGUCAUAGCUUAAAAUAUGUAGUUGAACGGGGAGUUGUUGUAUAAGAUACAGAACACAUUUUGUAUAAUUUUCUUCGAGGUUAUAGCAAAAAAAUUUUCAGAUACCUACCUGUCCUUUUAACGCAAUUCUUUGUAAAGCAUUAGAAGAAUAACUAAGUAUGUGUAAAAUUGAAACAUUCACGAUCAGUUUAUUGGUUGUGUACAUUGCAGUAGUUCCAACAGUGAGUAAAACUUGUAUACCUUACUACAUUAUAUCAUAUUAGUGUUGGCCCGCGCCAGGGGCAAAGCAAACCAAUUUCUUUAUUGUGGGGGGGGGGAGGGAAUAUAUUGAAAUUGCCUAAUGGGGUUUUUAACAAUUUUUAAACACAAUUUACAAAGUUAGAGGAGGAAGCCCAGAAAUGGGAUCAGAAGAAAGCUGAUGAGGAUGCCAUAAGGAGGAAGAGGGGAGCAUCUUGGGAGGAAAUGAAAAAUAAGGAAGCCGAGAUGGAGGCAGUCAAGAAAUGGGAACAGAUGAAAGCGGAUAAGGAAGCAAUAAGGAAGAAAAGGAGAGCAUAUUCGGAGGAAAUCGAGAAGAUGGAAGCCGAUAAGAAGGCGAAGGACGCAGCCGAUAAGGCGGCAAAAUAUUGGGAGGUAAUGCAGAAGGAGAAAGCCGCUCGGGAGGCAGCCGAGAUGCUGGAUAAACAGAGAAGGAGAUAGCCGAAGGAGGAGAACCCUCUGGAUGGUGGAAGAAGAAAACCGAUUGUUUAGAUGCGCGAAACGAAGAACCUAAAUUCAAAGAUUGGCUGUAAGAACUUUAUCAAACGCUGCCUGAAACAUACAGGGAGGAUUUUUUGUGAACUUCUUAGAUCAUAUAUAAUAAAUUCAUAUUUUAUUCAACAUUUUUGUCAGUUGUGUAUUAACAUUCGGGUACCUUGUACAUAGUACGAGUAUUUUAUAUUUCGCCAUCUUGUGCUACCACUCCCUGCAUAAAUGUACAUAUUUUGAAUAUUAAACGCAACAUUUGUAUCAUCUCAAUUUCUAUGUUAAUUCAACUCACUGAAAUAUGAAUCAAAUAAGUUGGUUUGUUCGAAUUUUAAUCAAAUUACACUAUCUACUAUUUAAUGUAAGAUGAAUGUAAAUUAACUGAGUAGACUUCUACUUUUUUGACUAAACACAACCGAAUUUGUAUGUGAUUUUCUUUCAGGGUCUGACAUGUGACCACCUUAAGUUUCUCCCCUAUUGCAAUAUAGACCUACUAACUGCCACUAAGAUAUGAAUUGCAUAACAUUUAGAAAUAUUACUAAUUUACUACAUGUUACUAGGCAUACAAAUAAUGUAACUAGGUACCUUAGCUUUAUCAUGUAUAUCUUGUACCUAGUUAGUUGUUAUAGUUGUAUUGAUAUACUCAAAUGUGAAACAAAGAAUAUCAAAUCUGAA